Sinocyclocheilus anshuiensis is the source of this 90-nucleotide long non-coding RNA. RefSeq lists it as uncharacterized. Lineage: Eukaryota; Metazoa; Chordata; Actinopteri; Cypriniformes; Cyprinidae. The record is from RefSeq and is a predicted model, not a curated record. The transcript has 4 exons.
UGAUAUUUAAAAUAUCUUUUUGUUUUAUUUUUAUUAUUUAGAUAAUUUCAUAUAACAGUAUUCAACUUUUAUGAUAAAUAUAUCAAAACA